Molecule: ribosomal RNA, 508 nt
Filed under: uncultured bacterium
Lineage: Bacteria
Description: bacterial SSU rRNA
Rfam family: Bacterial small subunit ribosomal RNA
Source: RNAcentral
CUGGCUCAGAACGAACGCUGGCGGCGCGUUUAAGCAUGCAAGUCGAGCGGCAAGGGCCUUCGGGCCCCUAGAGCGGCGGACGGGUGAGUAACACGUGGACAAUCUGCCCCCCGGCCCGGGAUAGCCCAGGGAAACCUGGAUUAAUACCGGAUGAGACGGGACCCGCGAUGGCGGGACCCGGGAAAGGCGCUGCGGCGCCGCCGGGGGAUGAGUCUGCGUCCCAUUAGCUAGACGGCGGGGUAACGGCCCACCGUGGCGACGAUGGGUAGCCGGCCUGAGAGGGUGGACGGCCACAUUGGAACUGAGACACGGUCCAGACUCCUACGGGAGGCAGCAGCUAAGAAUCUUCCGCAAUGGGCGAAAGCCUGACGGAGCCGACGCCGCGUGAACGAAGAAGGCCGUGAGGUUGUAAAGUUCUUUUCGGGAGGGGAACAACCGUGGCAGGGAAUGGCCGCGGGAUGACGUGAAUCCCGGAAUAAGCCCCGGCUAACUACGUGCCAGCAGCCGC